Molecule: transfer RNA, 71 nt
Filed under: Stereochilus marginatus (many-lined salamander)
Lineage: Eukaryota; Metazoa; Chordata; Amphibia; Caudata; Plethodontidae
Description: tRNA-Ile
Rfam family: tRNA
About the family: Transfer RNA (tRNA) molecules are approximately 80 nucleotides in length. Their secondary structure includes four short double-helical elements and three loops (D, anti-codon, and T loops).
Source: RNAcentral
GGACAUGUGCCCGAAAGUCAGGGCUUACCUUGAUAGGGUAAAUUAUAGAGGUUCAAACCCCCUCAUCUCCC